Molecule: ribosomal RNA, 439 nt
Filed under: uncultured bacterium
Lineage: Bacteria
Description: partial 16S ribosomal RNA
Rfam family: Bacterial small subunit ribosomal RNA
Source: RNAcentral
CUACGGGGGGCUCCAGUGGGGAAUCUUAGACAAUGGGCGCAAGCCUGAUCUAGCCAUGCCGCGUGAGUGAUGAAGGCCUUAGGGUCGUAAAGCUCUUUCGCUGGGGAAGAUAAUGACGGUACCCAGUAAAGAAACCCCGGCUAACUCCGUGCCAGCAGCCGCGGUAAUACGGAGGGGGUUAGCGUUGUUCGGAAUUACUGGGCGUAACGCGCGCGUAGGCGGACUGUUAAGUCGGGGGUGAAAUCCCGGGGCUCAACCCCGGAACGGCCUUCGAUACUGGCAGUCUGGAGUUCGAGAGAGGUGAGUGGAAUUCCGAGUGUAGAGGUGAAAUUCGUAGAUAUUCGGAGGAACACCAGUGGCGAAGGCGGCUCACUGGCUCGAUACUGACGCUGAGGUGCGAAAGUGUGGGGAGCAAACAGGAUUAGAUACCCCCGUAGUC